AAUCAACGCUGGCGGCGUGCCUAACACAUGCAAGUCGAACGCGAAAGCCCUUUCGGGGGUAAGUAGAGUGGCGUCCGGGUGAGUAACACGUAGGUAAUCUACCUUCGGGUGGGGAAUAACUCGCCGAAAGGCGAGCUAAUACCGCAUAAUGCAGCGGCACCUAAUGGUGAUUAGUUGUUAAAGCGGGGGAUCGUAAGACCUCGCGCCUGAAGAGGAGCCUGCGGCAGAUUAGCUAGNGGUGAGGUAAUGGCUCACCAAGGCUUCGAUCUGUAGCUGGUCUGAGAGGACGGCCAGCCACACUGGCACUGACACACGGGCCAGACUCCUACGGGAGGCAGCAGUGGGGAAUUUUGGGCAAUGGGCGCAAGCCUGACCCAGCAACGCCGCGUGAGGGAGGAAAUCCUUGGGAUGUAAACCUCACAAGCAAGGGAAGAGAGC
RNAcentral lists this ribosomal RNA (438 nucleotides) under uncultured bacterium. RNAcentral describes it as "bacterial SSU rRNA". It matches the Rfam family "Bacterial small subunit ribosomal RNA", at positions 32 to 452 of the family's 1533-position model. The record is from RNAcentral.